AACGUGCCCUUCUCUAGGGAAUAGCCACUGGAAACGGUGAGUAAUACCUUAUACGCCCUUCGGGGGAAAGAUUUAUCGGAGAAGGAUCGGCCCGCGUUAGAUUAGAUAGUUGGUGGGGUAACGGCCUACCAAGUCUACGAUCUAUAGCUGGUUUUAGAGGAUGAUCAGCAACACUGGGACUGAGACACGGCCCAGACUCCUACGGGAGGCAGCAGUGGGGAAUCUUGGACAAUGGGGGCAACCCUGAUCCAGCCAUGCCGCGUGAGUGAUGAAGGCCUUAGGGUCGUAAAGCUCUUUCGCCUGUGAUGAUAAUGACAGUAGCAGGUAAAGAAACCCCGGCUAACUCCGUGCCAGCAGCCGCGGUAAUACGGAGGGGGUUAGCGUUGUUCGGAAUUACUGGGCGUAAAGCGCGCGUAGGCGGACCAGAAAGUUGGGGGUGAAAUCCCGGGGCUCAACCCCGGAACUGCCUCCAAAACUCCUGGUCUUGAGUUCGAGAGAGGUGAGUGGAAUUCCGAGUGUAGAGGUGAAAUUCGUAGAUAUUCGGAGGAAC
RNAcentral lists this ribosomal RNA (550 nucleotides) under uncultured bacterium. RNAcentral's name for it is "bacterial SSU rRNA". It matches the Rfam family "Bacterial small subunit ribosomal RNA", at positions 123 to 707 of the family's 1533-position model. The record is from RNAcentral.